CAUUGGAAACGAUGGCUAAUACCGCAUAAUCUCUUCGGAGCAAAGAGGGGGACCUUCGGGCCUCUCGCGUCAGGAUUAGCCCAGGUGAGAUUAGCUUGUUGGUGAGGUAAGAGCUCACCAAGGCAACGAUCUCUAGCUGGUCUGAGAGGAUGAUCAGCCACACUGGAACUGAGACACGGUCCAGACUCCUACGGGAGGCAGCAGUGGGGAAUAUUGCACAAUGGGGGAAACCCUGAUGCAGCCAUGCCGCGUGUGUGAAGAAGGCCUUCGGGUUGUAAAGCACUUUCAGUUGUGAGGAAGGCGUUGUCGUUAAUAGCGGCAAUGUUUGACGUUAGCAACAGAAGAAGCACCGGCUAACUCCGUGCCAGCAGCCGCGGUAAUACGGAGGGUGCGAGCGUUAAUCGGAAUUACUGGGCGUAAAGCGCAUGCAGGCGGCUUGUUAAGCCAGAUGUGAAAGCCCGGGGCUCAACCUCGGAAUAGCAUUUGGAACUGGCAGGCUAGAGUCUUGUAGAGGG
This 515-nucleotide ribosomal RNA is filed under the name Photobacterium lutimaris. Its description in RNAcentral is "bacterial SSU rRNA". It matches the Rfam family "Bacterial small subunit ribosomal RNA", at positions 148 to 658 of the family's 1533-position model. Lineage: Bacteria; Pseudomonadati; Pseudomonadota; Gammaproteobacteria; Vibrionales; Vibrionaceae. The record is from RNAcentral.